CCUACGUGCGGCAGCAGUGAGGAAUAUUGGUCAAUGGCCGGAAGGCUGAACCAUCCAAGCCGCGUGAAGGACGACGGUGCCAAGCAUUGUACACUUCUUUUGUCAAGGGACAAAAUCAGGCUCGAGAGCCUGACCGAGGGUACUUGAAGAAAAAGCAUCGGCUAACUCCGUGGCAGCAGCCGCGGUAAUACGGAGGAUGCGAGCGUUCUCCGGGUUUAUUGGGUUUAAAGGGUGCGUAGGGGGGCUGUUAGUUCAGCGGUAAAAGCCCGGGGGUCAACCCCGGCGCGCCGUGGAAACUGGCUGUCUUGAGAUGUCGAGAGGUAUGCGGAAUGUGCAGUGUAGCGGUGAAAUGCUUAGAUAUUGCGCAGAACUCCGAGUGCGAAGGCAGCAUACCGGCGGCGAUCUGACGCUGAGGCACGAAAGCGUGGGUAUCGAACAGGAUUAGAUACCCCUGUAGUC
RNAcentral lists this ribosomal RNA (459 nucleotides) under uncultured bacterium. Its description in RNAcentral is "partial 16S ribosomal RNA". It matches the Rfam family "Bacterial small subunit ribosomal RNA", at positions 338 to 795 of the family's 1533-position model. The record is from RNAcentral.